Molecule: long non-coding RNA, 1960 nt
Organism: Felis catus (domestic cat)
Lineage: Eukaryota; Metazoa; Chordata; Mammalia; Carnivora; Felidae
Exons: 2
Source: RefSeq, a predicted model, not a curated record
CAUUGGGCGUCAUGUACUACUCGUAUUGCAAGACCUCACUCGUUUAUCAAGUUAAAAUUUAUUAGAAAUAUUUGCUCAUCUUGUGGAACACUCAGGAACAAGUUACUCGCAAUCCAAGGUUUUAGCGUAAUUGGAUUAGCUGCAGCCACUGGGAACGGUCCAGCCGUGAGGGGACUCAGGAAGUGAAGGCUCAGAGUUUCGGCUGCUGCAAGGACCCGGCGCCACCGGGUUUCAGUACGUCAGAGGAAUGGGUCGGUUGGCAUUCCGCGUUUUCAGACAGCAGGGGUAGAUGUUGGGGCAAGUUCCGAUGAAGAAUUCCCCUGUUUUACAGCGCCUCCGGCAGCGGGCGGUCCCAUAGCCGCAUAUCUUGUCUGUGUCAAAUUCAUUUCUCACUAAAUAACAGAAUAAAUCAGUGCGAUUAUCAUGCCUGAAGACCAGGAGGCGGGACUUUGGCAGUGGUUUCUGGGGGAUAGUGACUGAACUGACUUGAGAGAAUACCCUGGAACCCUGGUGGAACAGAUUUCCCAAGCCACCUCCUCCCUCUGCUCUCCUCGCUGAUGGACCCCACCAUCUGAUUCUCUUCCAGAUGAGAAGAGAAUUUUAAACAUUAAAAUUAAACAUUAAUUGGCUCUUGUCACAUCUCUUCUCAAAAUCCCUACAAUAAAAUCCCUGCUAUCACUUUUUGGUUGAAUCCAAGCAAGCCCUUUACCAUGAGCUUCGAGCAGCGCUGGCCUCCAUUCAGGGCCCAACGCUCUUCUCCCUGGAAUACUCCCCCCUCCUCCCACGAAUGACCUCCUGGAAUCUCCAUGUCACAACGUUGGGGGAUCUCUCCCUGUUUUUCCCAUGUGCCCAAGCGCCCUGGAAGUUUUUUAUUCCUUCACGACAUCUUUCCCAAGUUGUAAUUACAUGAUGUUUUCAGUGACUUGGUCUUCCUGAUUGAAUUCUAAGUUCCCCAGGUGGGAGACGAUGUUCAUGUUCCAUUCACAAAUUACGGGCUCGCCCAGUGCCCAACAUGUGCUUAAAAACCAACCACCUGUUGAGUGAACGUUGGGACAGAGAGGACGAGCAUAAAGCAGAAGCGACAUGAGCAGGGGAGAGCAGAACAGACAGAGGAGAGGAGAUACCUACCGGGCUCACUGGGCUGAACCCUGGGACUUUGAUUGCAGCUGCUACAUGUGAAAAACCUGAAAGUCUCCACUCCCAUCCUUAAGUACCAAACUGGAAAGAACCCGGCUGUCCUCCAGCAGGUGAAGGGUUCAAUGAAUCCUGGUACAUCCACCCGGUGGACUACGAUGCAGGGACAAAAAGGGAAGACCUACUGAGACACGCACCAAACAUGGAGAGUCUCCAGACCACUACAGUGAGUGAAAAGUCCCCCAGAAGUUACCUACUGUAGGAUUCCAUUUAUUUUAUUUUCAAAUUCAUUUAUCUUGAGGGACACAGAAAGCGCAUGCAAGCAGAGGAGGGGAAGACAGAGAAGGAGAGAGAGAAUCCCAAAUAGGCUCCUCACUGUCAGUGCAGAGCCUGAAGCCGGGCUUGAACUCACAAACCGCGAGAUCAUGACCUGAGCCGAAACUAAGUCGGUCGCUGAACUGAUUGAGCCACCCAAGUACUCCUGUAGGAUUCCAUUUAUAUGACGUUCCUGAAGAACAAGUUGUAGAAGUGAAGAGCAGAUAAGUAGUACCCGGAAUUAAGGUGGAGGCGGACACAGGAGGGAAGAGGAUGUGGCCCUGAAAGGGCAACAUGGCGGGCGUGGGUGGGGGCAGGGAUCUCUGUGGUGAUGGACUUGUUUUGUAUCCGUGUCAGUAUCUGGUGUUCGUAGUGUAUUGUCCUCUGGUUGUGCUAUUGGGAAAACUGCAUUAAACGGUAGAGAUGUAUCUGUAUUGUAUUUUACAACUGUGCAUGACUUUGUAAUUAUCUCAAAACAGAAAAAUGUCAUAAAAAAAGGUUGUUGCUUCAA